GCAGGCUGCAACUCGCCUGCAUGAAGUCGGAAUUGCUAGUAAUCGCAGAUCAGCAUGCUGCGGUGAAUACGUUCCCGGGCCUUGUACACACCGCCCGUCACACCAUGGGAGUCGGUAACACCCAAAGUUGGUAGCCUAACCGCAAGGAGGGCGCCGCCUAAGGUGGGAUUGGUGACUGGGGUGAAGUCGUAACAAGGUACC
Molecule: ribosomal RNA, 201 nt
Filed under: uncultured bacterium
Lineage: Bacteria
Description: partial 16S ribosomal RNA
Rfam family: Bacterial small subunit ribosomal RNA
Source: RNAcentral